RNAcentral lists this ribosomal RNA (446 nucleotides) under uncultured bacterium. RNAcentral's name for it is "bacterial SSU rRNA". It matches the Rfam family "Bacterial small subunit ribosomal RNA", at positions 330 to 792 of the family's 1533-position model. The record is from RNAcentral.
GCCAGACUCCUACGGGAGGCAGCAGUGGGGAAUAUUGCACAAUGGGGGAAACCCUGAUGCAGCAACGCCGCGUGAGUGAAGAAGUAUUUCGGUAUGUAAAGCUCUAUCAGCAGGGAAGAAGAAGGACGGUACCUGACUAAGAAGCCCCGGCUAACUACGUGCCGGCAGCCGCGGUAAUACGUAGGGGGCGAGCGUUAUCCGGAUUUACUGGGUGUAAAGGGAGCGUAGACGGUUAAUCAAGUCUGAAGUGAAGGCCCGCGGCUCAACUGCGGAACGGCUUUGGAAACUGAGUAACUGGAGUGCUGGAGGGGCAGGCGGAAUUCCUGGUGUAGCGGUGAAAUGCGUAGAUAUCAGGAGGAACACCGGUGGCGAAGGCGGCCUGCUGGACAGUAACUGACGUUGAGGCUCGAAAGCGUGGGGAGCAAACAGGAUUAGAUACCCGCGUA